UGGAUAUCGAGCAGAACGGAGGAAGAAGAUGGAGGCCGGUACCUGAAAAGAAGAUGGCGUGGGGAACGGCGACCAUCGGAGACAUCCAGCAGAGAUCACGGCGCAAGGGAAGGGAACAUUAACCCAUACUGAUCUGUGCUGCCUUCGGACCUCCAGGAAAUGGAAAUUUCAGGUAAUGCCAGAUAAAGAUACAAAAAUGUGCUCAAGAAAUGUGGAUGGCAUUUUAUGAAUUUGACAGCCUUAUAAAUAAAAUAUCUGGGAAAAAGUCUACUAUCUACAUACCAUGAAGAAUAAA
Molecule: long non-coding RNA, 295 nt
Organism: Hyla sarda
Lineage: Eukaryota; Metazoa; Chordata; Amphibia; Anura; Hylidae
Exons: 3
Source: RefSeq, a predicted model, not a curated record